UCCCUCUUGGGAUCUCACCUGGAGAGUUUCCAGUACUCUACCGGACUCGGCUACGGGAGGGAUUGUCAAACAGAGGCCUACUCAUUCCAUUCCUAGCUUGGCCAGUGGCUAGCGAGUGGAAGGCAAUUUUCUACAACU
Molecule: small nucleolar RNA, 138 nt
Organism: Ornithorhynchus anatinus (platypus)
Lineage: Eukaryota; Metazoa; Chordata; Mammalia; Monotremata; Ornithorhynchidae
Source: RefSeq, a predicted model, not a curated record